This is a small nuclear RNA of Neoarius graeffei (lesser salmon catfish), 112 nucleotides long. The record is from RefSeq and is a predicted model, not a curated record. NCBI's taxonomy places the organism in Eukaryota, Metazoa, Chordata, Actinopteri, Siluriformes, Ariidae.
GUGCUUGCUACGGCAGCACAUACACAAAAAAAUCAGAUCAAUACAGAGAAGAAUAGCAUAUACCACCCUGUAAAAGGAUGACAAGCAAAUCUGUGAAGUGCUCCUGUGACUC